Molecule: non-coding RNA, 101 nt
Organism: Massarina eburnea CBS 473.64
Lineage: Eukaryota; Fungi; Ascomycota; Dothideomycetes; Pleosporales; Massarinaceae
Source: the annotation of a GenBank genome assembly
GCAUCGGUGGUUUAGUGGUAAAAUUAGCCGUUGCCAUAAGCUAGGAUUCACUCCUAGCUUGCAGCUUCGGCUAGCCCCGGGUUCGAUUCCCGGCCGAUGCA